Molecule: ribosomal RNA, 492 nt
Filed under: uncultured bacterium
Lineage: Bacteria
Description: partial 16S ribosomal RNA
Rfam family: Bacterial small subunit ribosomal RNA
Source: RNAcentral
AGUGAACGCUGGCGGUAGGCCUAACACAUGCGAGUCGAACGGCAGCACAGUAAGUGCUUGCUCUUACGGGUGGCGAGUGGCGGACGGGUGAGGAGUACAUCGGGAUCUACUUUUUCGUGGGGGAUAACGUAGGGAGACUUACUCUAAUACAGCAUACGACCUACGGGUGAGAGCAGGGGAGCUUCGGGCCUUGCGCGAUUGUAUGAGCCGAUGUCGGAUUAGCUAGUUGGCGGGGUAAAGGACCACCAAGGCGACGAUCGGUAGAUGGUCGGAGAGGAUGAUCGGCGACACUGGAGCUGGGACACGGUCAAGAGUACUACGGGAGGCAGCAGUGGGGAAUAUGAGACAAUGGGGGCAAGCCUGAUCCAGCGAGACCGCGUGGGUGGAGAAGGCGUUGGGGUGGGAAAGCCGUUUUGUGGGGAAAGAAAAGCAGUAGGUUAAGACGAAGCUGUUGUGACGGUACCUAAAGAAUAAGCACCGGCUAACUUCGUG